This 253-nucleotide ribosomal RNA is filed under the name uncultured bacterium. Its description in RNAcentral is "partial 16S ribosomal RNA". It matches the Rfam family "Bacterial small subunit ribosomal RNA", at positions 524 to 776 of the family's 1533-position model. The record is from RNAcentral.
UACGGAGGGGGCGAGCGUUGUCCGGAAUCAUUGGGCGUAAAGAGCGUGUAGGCGGCUUGGCAAGUCUUGCGUGAAAUCCUGCGGCUCAACCGCAGGCGGGCGCAGGAAACUGCCUCGCUAGAGUCCGGAAGAGGAGAGCGGAAUUCCUGGUGUAGCGGUGGAAUGCGCAGAUAUCAGGAAGAACACCCGUGGCGAAGGCGGCUCUCUGGGACGGUACUGACGCUGAGACGCGAAAGCGUGGGGAGCGAACAGG